This 737-nucleotide ribosomal RNA is filed under the name uncultured endophytic bacterium. Its description in RNAcentral is "bacterial SSU rRNA". It matches the Rfam family "Bacterial small subunit ribosomal RNA", at positions 771 to 1504 of the family's 1533-position model. The record is from RNAcentral.
AACAGGAUUAGAUACCCUGGUAGUCCAUGCCGUAAACGUUGGGCACUAGGUGUGGGGACCAUUCCACGGUUUCCGCGCCGCAGCUAACGCAUUAAGUGCCCCGCCUGGGGAGUACGGCCGCAAGGCUAAAACUCAAAGGAAUUGACGGGGGCCCGCACAAGCGGCGGAGCAUGCGGAUUAAUUCGAUGCAACGCGAAGAACCUUACCAAGGCUUGACAUGUUCUCGAUCGCCGUAGAGAUACGGUUUCCCCUUUGGGGCGGGUUCACAGGUGGUGCAUGGUUGUCGUCAGCUCGUGUCGUGAGAUGUUGGGUUAAGUCCCGCAACGAGCGCAACCCUCGUUCCAUGUUGCCAGCACGUAAUGGUGGGGACUCAUGGGAGACUGCCGGGGUCAACUCGGAGGAAGGUGAGGACGACGUCAAAUCAUCAUGCCCCUUAUGUCUUGGGCUUCACGCAUGCUACAAUGGCCGGUACAAUGGGUUGCGAUACUGUGAGGUGGAGCUAAUCCCAAAAAGCCGGUCUCAGUUCGGAUUGGGGUCUGCAACUCGACCCCAUGAAGUCGGAGUCGCUAGUAAUCGCAGAUCAGCGACGCUGCGGUGAAUGCGUUCCCGGGCCUUGUACACACCGCCCGUCAAGUCACGAAAGUUGGUAACACCCGAAGCCGGUGGCCUAACCCUUGUGGGGGGAGCCGUCGAAGUGGGACCAGCGAUUGGGACUAAGUCGUAACAAGGUAGCCGUA